UACGGAGGGUGCAAACGUUGCUCGGAAUCAUUGGGCGUAAAGCGCGCGUAGGCGGCUUUGUAAGUUAGAGGUGAAAGCCCAGGGCUUAACCCUGGAAUUGCCUUUAAGACUGCAUCGCUAGAAUCGUGGAGAGGUGAGUGGAAUUCCGAGUGUAGAGGUGAAAUUCGUAGAUAUUCGGAAGAACACCAGUGGCGAAGGCGACUCACUGGACACGUAUUGACGCUGAGGUGCGAAAGCGUGGGGAGCAAACAGG
Molecule: ribosomal RNA, 253 nt
Filed under: uncultured bacterium
Lineage: Bacteria
Description: partial 16S ribosomal RNA
Rfam family: Bacterial small subunit ribosomal RNA
Source: RNAcentral